AGUGAACGCUGGCGGCAGGCCUAACACAUGCAAGUCGAGCGGCAGCGGGGUCCCCGCGAGGGGAGUGCCGGCGAGCGGCGGACGGGUGAGGAACACAUCGGAAUCUGCCUGGUUGUGGGGAGUAACGUAGGGAAACUUACGCUAAUACCGCAUGCGACCCUGAGUCGACGGACUGGGGUGGAAAGUGAGGGACCUUCGGGCCGUCACGCGACCAGAUGAGCCGAUGUCGGAUUAGCUAGUUGGCGGGGUAACGGCCCGCCAACGGCGACGAUCCGUAGCUGGUCUGAGAGGAUGAUCAGCC
RNAcentral lists this ribosomal RNA (301 nucleotides) under uncultured bacterium. RNAcentral describes it as "bacterial SSU rRNA". It matches the Rfam family "Bacterial small subunit ribosomal RNA", at positions 30 to 309 of the family's 1533-position model. The record is from RNAcentral.